Centruroides sculpturatus (bark scorpion) is the source of this 557-nucleotide long non-coding RNA. RefSeq lists it as uncharacterized. The transcript has 3 exons. NCBI's taxonomy places the organism in Eukaryota, Metazoa, Arthropoda, Arachnida, Scorpiones, Buthidae. The record is from RefSeq and is a predicted model, not a curated record.
UCAACUAUAUUCAAAGCACACUUAGCAGCUGUUAGAUGUGUUGACUUUUCUAAUGAUUCACAAUAUUUAUUAACAGGUUCAAGUGACAAGACAAUUAAGGUUUGGCUAACUAAUAGACAAAAAUUUUUGUAUUCUCUUUGUCAUCAUUGUAAUUGGGUAAGAUCUGCCAGAUAGUUUCAACCAAGAGAAAACCUAGACAAAUAAGCUGUUAAAAUCUUAAUCCCUUAAUCCUAAACAGCUAAACAGAAUAACUAAAACCUCAAAAAUUGCUAACAAAGAAUAAAUAAAGUUUAAAUUGGUUUGCUAUUUAGAAAUGACCAAUCCUUGCCAAAUAAUUUUAUUUCAAAUAAAAAGCACAAAAUAAGUGUUUUCUAAUAUUAAAAAACAGUAAAUUUAUUUAAAAGAAUAAUAAUUGAGAAACAACUGCAUGAAUAAUAGCAGCAAGUCAAUCCUGAUUCUUCCUGCAUGCUAUUCUCCCAAUUAAAACAAAUUUGAAUUCUUUUACUACUGGGAAUAAGAAUGAACCAUUCCUCACCACUAAACCCUGAGAGGUAAAA